UUCAAAAUCUACGAACGUAAUCGCUUACGUAAUCAAUAGGAACGAGUCAGACUGAAAAAUAACUUAAUAAGAAAGUAUUGAAUCCGUCAAAAACUGAGGGUACCGAUCUUUUAUUUCAAUCACGUAUCGAUCAAGGAGCAAAGCUUAUAACUUUGAAAAUUCUGAAGGUACUAACAUAGAUGUUCAUACUUCAUAGUUUCACAUCGAAGGUCAGGAUGACAAAAAUUUACAAUAAAACGUUAUGUACUAGCACUUUAAAUUGUGUGACAUUUUACACAACUAUAUGUAGUAGUUAAAUCACAAUACAUACAAUAC
RNAcentral lists this long non-coding RNA (315 nucleotides) under Brassica napus (rape). RNAcentral's name for it is "long non-coding RNA (BNAP_LNC000965)". The record is from RNAcentral. Lineage: Eukaryota; Viridiplantae; Streptophyta; Magnoliopsida; Brassicales; Brassicaceae.